CCUACGGGGAGCAGCAGUGAGGAAUAUUGGUCAAUGGGCGGGAGCCUGAACCAGCCAAGUCGCGUGAGGGAAGACGGUCCUAUGGAUUGUAAACCUCUUUAGGCGGGGAGCAAUGCCGGGCACGCGUGCCCGGAGGGAGAGUACCCGCAGAAUAAGCAUCGGCUAACUCCGUGCCAGCAGCCGCGGUAAUACGGAGGAUUCGAGCGUUAUCCGGAUUUAGUGGGUUAAAAGGGUGCGUUGGCGGAUUUUUAAGGCAGCGGUAAAAUUUCCGGGCUCAACCCGGGCCGGCCGUUGAAACUGGGGAUCUUGAGUGGGCGAGAAGUAUGCGGAAUGCGUGGUGUAGCGGUGAAAUGCAUAGAUAUCACGCAGAACUCCGAUUGCGAAGGCAGCAUACUGGCGCCCGACUGACGCUGAGGCACGAAAGCGUGGGGAUCGAACAGGAUUAGAUACCCGUGUAGUC
This 460-nucleotide ribosomal RNA is filed under the name uncultured bacterium. RNAcentral describes it as "partial 16S ribosomal RNA". It matches the Rfam family "Bacterial small subunit ribosomal RNA", at positions 338 to 795 of the family's 1533-position model. The record is from RNAcentral.